UUCUAUCUCUUAAUAAAGUCCAGUCAAUUUCAUUUUCCUCUCCUCAAUUCCUCUAUUAUUUGUGCAUCACAAACAAGAUAAUAAUAUCUUAAAAGGAAUCAUUUACUAAUAUAUGUUUUUAUUCUACUUCAAAACACUCACAUGCCUUGUUUCAUAAAAUGUACGUGUUCACAAAACAUCAUUCCCUUGUGUGAAUAUAGCAUAGUUUACCAAUUUGCUAUUCUUCACAUGGUAUGAAAUGAGACGAGACUAUCUCUUGUUCAUUCAUAUUUUCCAGAUCUAAAUUAAAGGAAACAAAACAAAACAAAAGGCAAAAACAAAAAUAAGUUUCAUUUUCAAAUCUAUUGGUUUAAGCAUCAACAAUCUCCUUAGUUUCAGCAGAAGCCAAAACAAGGUUGGGUGUUUCUAUUCCAAGUUCACAUGUUCCAUCAAUGGCAUUGUUCUUCCCCAAUGCUUUCAAUGCCAAAUGUGCUGCCUUCUGCCCGGAUAUCAUCAUGGCCCCAAAUGUUGGGCCCUACAAAAAUAAACAACAAAAUUUGUCAUUUAACACAUCUAUCUAAGCUUAAUGUUCUUUUUUUUCUUCAUUCCAAAACUAGAUGCAAAUUCAGGGUUUGUUUCUUUGUUUAAGAUGCAUGCAUAUAUAUAUAUAUAUAAAUUAGUUAAUUAGGGUAAGAGAUGCAUAUACCAUUCUUGGGGAUCCAUCAAUUUCCGCAACUUCCAUGCCAGUGACAAUCAUCCCAGGUACAAUCUCCCUAGUGAGGUUAACAAUAGCAUCCUCAGCAGCAUUCAUGUCAAGUGCUUUCAUUCCAGGAACACUCUCUAUCAUGCCAAUACUCCUCAGCCUCUUAACCCCAGUAGCACCAAAUGGCCCAUCAUGUCCACAUGAACUCACCACAACCUUAGCCUCCAUGACAUUAGGGUCCAUGCAAGACUGUGUAUCAUGGUUCAUAGAAACCAAAGCCCAGUUGGUGACAACACCACCCACUCUCCCUCCUUUAACAAUCAAAUCCUCAACAGCCACAGCAUUGAACAACUUGACAUUAGGUCUAGCAAGAAGCUUGCUCAUGAUGGUUGAAGUGAAUAAUGCUGCAUGCUUUAUAACAACAUAAUCU
Molecule: long non-coding RNA, 1112 nt
Filed under: Lupinus angustifolius (narrow-leaved blue lupine)
Lineage: Eukaryota; Viridiplantae; Streptophyta; Magnoliopsida; Fabales; Fabaceae
Description: long non-coding RNA (LANG_LNC000896)
Source: RNAcentral